RNAcentral lists this long non-coding RNA (318 nucleotides) under Pan troglodytes (chimpanzee). Its description in RNAcentral is "long non-coding RNA NONPTRT006036". The record is from RNAcentral. Lineage: Eukaryota; Metazoa; Chordata; Mammalia; Primates; Hominidae.
CUGGGACAACUUCACAUUUUGAUUUAAGCAUUUGAUAAAUAGGUUGUAUGUAUUUUUUUCUCUGCGUGUUUUUAGAUCAGCAGGUCAAAAGGUACAAGAUUGUUACUUCUAUCAAAUUUUUAUGGAAAAAAAUGAGAAAGUUGGCGUUCCCACAAUUCAGCAGUUGUUAGAAUGGUCUUUUAUCAACAGUAACCUGAAAUUUGCAGAGGCACCAUCAUGUCUGAUUAUUCAGAUGCCUCGAUUUGGAAAAGACUUUAAACUAUUUAAAAAAAUUUUUCCUUCUCUGGAAUUAAAUAUAACAGAUUUACUUGAAGACAG